GAUGAACGCUAGCUACAGGCUUAACACAUGCAAGUCGAGGGGAAACGACAUCGAAAGCUUGCUUUUGAUGGGCGUCGACCGGCGCACGGGUGAGUAACGCGUAUCCAACCUGCCCACCACUUGGGGAUAACCUUGCGAAAGUAAGACUAAUACCCAAUGAUAUCUCUAGACGACAUCUGAAAGGGAUUAAAGAUUUAUCGGUGAUGGAUGGGGAUGCGUCUGAUUAGCUUGUUGGCGGGGUAACGGCCCACCAAGGCAACGAUCAGUAGGGGUUCUGAGAGGAAGGUCCCCCCACAUUGGAACUGAGACACGGUCCAAACUCCUACGGGAGGCAGCAGUGAGGAAUAUUGGUCAAUGGACGAGAGUCUGAACCAGCCAAGUAGCGUGCAGGAUGACGGCCCUAUGGGUUGUAAACUGCUUUUAUAAGGGAAUAAAGUGAGCCUCGUGAGGCUUUUUGCAUGUACCUUAUGAAUAAGGACCGGCUAAUUCCGUGCCAGCAGCCGACGG
RNAcentral lists this ribosomal RNA (507 nucleotides) under uncultured bacterium. RNAcentral's name for it is "bacterial SSU rRNA". It matches the Rfam family "Bacterial small subunit ribosomal RNA", at positions 28 to 520 of the family's 1533-position model. The record is from RNAcentral.